UACCUACGGGAGGCAGCAGUGAGGAAUAUUGGUCAAUGGGCUUACGCCUGAACCAGCCAAGUCGCGUGAGGGAAGACUGCCCUAUGGGUUGUAAACCUCUUUUGUCAGGGAGCAACGCCGGCUACGUGUAGCCGGACUGAGAGUACCUGAAGAAAAAGCAUCGGCUAACUCCGUGCCAGCAGCCGCGGUAAUACGUAGGUGGCAAGCGUUAUCCGGAAUGACUGGGCGUAAAGGGUGCGUAGGUGGUUUAGUAAGUUGGCGGUGUAAUUCCGGGGCUCAACCUCGGCGCUACCGCCAAAACUAUU
This 305-nucleotide ribosomal RNA is filed under the name uncultured bacterium. RNAcentral describes it as "bacterial SSU rRNA". It matches the Rfam family "Bacterial small subunit ribosomal RNA", at positions 335 to 637 of the family's 1533-position model. The record is from RNAcentral.